UUACAGUAUGUAUAUGCUUCAACAUUUAUUUGUUUAUUCGUUAUUUUGAAAAAGAAAAACGUCUAUAACUUUCUGAGCGACUGCAAUAUUAAUGAAGGUCGCGUUAAGUAAGUUACCUACCCCUUUAUUACCUUCCCGUAGGAGUCAGAGUUUCCGAAUAACGAAAGUUUGCAGCAAUUAGUCAUUUAGCUUAAUUUCAAGGGCACUGUUUCUAAGAACAGUCUAGUCUUAUUACGGACAUGCAACUUAAUCACCGCCAGAUUUGAAAGCCCACCCAUCAAAUUAUCGUGAUAGGCUACUGCGAAGACGUUCUUUUGAACGCGUCAGGAAAUACUAUGACAUAAAUAUGCGACUGAACUUGUACUUGAAUGGGCAGGGUAGAUUCGAUUCUCCAAGGAAAAAAAUAGUUUUAUAUAGGCUACACCAUAUUAAAGCACAUGAAAUUGCAUUAAUAUUAUGUAAUUUAAAAAAUGUGUAAAAUCAGUGUAUUAUGUAUUUUAUGAAUCUUUAAAAUCAGUUUAAAAGAAAGAUAAAAUAGUGAUGCCAUUUAAAAUUUUCAGUUAAAUCAACCAACCUCUCCCAUCGUCAACGACAGUGGAAAAAAAAACCUUGGCAAGCACAGCCCAUGCUUUCGUACAAAUGCGACAGAGCCGUUCGCUCGUGUGUGAAAGAACAAACAUUCCCAUUGUGAAAAGCUAUGAGCAGGAGGUGGCUGGCCCGGGAGGAGUGUAUCACUGGAGCACUACUGCCCCCUGCCUACACUGCAGCGGGCAACGAGACGACCGGGCGCGGCCAACUGGGCGCAGAGUGCGGGCGCGGCGCCAGGACCUCGUCUCCGGAGCAGCCAGAGUGGUACGGCGCUGAUAAUAUUUGUGAAUAAGGGAAGAGGAAAAAGAACAGUGAGAGAUGAAAGAAGGGAGAUUUGAAGUUUGUUCUUUAAAGUAUCGGCAAACUCCGUCUGCCCUCUGCGGCCCGUGGGAUCGCAUUCUCUGAUGUCCGACGGCAGAGGACGUUUCUCAUUGGCCCCUGGGAGACUGACGUCUCACAAGAGUCGGUCUCCACCUGGCAGAUGAGGGAACGUCAGGGAUGGGGCCUUGAAGGGCAGGCCGCAACGUUGGCAUGAUGCCCCCCGCUCACCUGCAGGCUGCCGCGACGCUGAGCCUGGCACUGCCCGUGAUCCGUGCUGGGCCUGGCAUAUCUCGCGCACAAGUCAGUGGCCAGUACAGCAUCUGGAACGGGGAGGGGGCCCGUGCUGAGAUUCCCUCUCAGUUAUCCCACUGAGCUGCGUGUGAGCAGCUUACGAUUACAGUAUGCCACAGACCUCGGAGAGGCGUGUUCUCUGUGCGACCUUAGACCUCACCUCAGGCCAAACAGGACUGAACCAGGGUGGGUCUAACACACCGAGACCAGAAGUAACCUGCAGAUGAUGCCAAAUCAUCCAACAUGGCAACCACUCUUGCGCAUAUCUCGGUAUGCUUUUAGUUUUUGUGAAUAUUUUGAAGAAUGCAUUAAGAUUUAGUUAGACAGGAAAAGUAUGCCUGGGGUUGCCACUUUCCUUUUCUGUUUUGUAGUGGGGUUCCCCAACGAAACCCCACACUUCCCUGGCAUCAACUGCUACCUUUCCUCAAAUGCCAAGGAAAUAAAUCAAUUAAUACGAGCCGUUGGCAGAAUAAAGAGCAAGUACUAAUCAUCGUACAUCAUUAGGCAAAGAUUUAGCUUAAAUGUGUUUAGAGGGAAUUAAGCAAAGCUGCUGUUGACAUGGAUUGACUGCUGUAAUGCUUUAUUGUCAGUGCUCUGGGAAGUAGAGGGAGAGUGCCGGUAUAUUGGGGAGAGUGGGACUGGGAGGAGGGGGUUGUGGGACGCUGGAAGACUUGGUGGCUCGGAGGCAGAUUGGGCCUUCCAGUAGGAGUCAGAGCUGAGCUGCCACUGGGAGGGAGGGAGAGAUACUGAGAGGACUUGGAAUAGGAACUAGAAUGAAAAGUAAUGACUGGUACAGUGGUGGUCGUGUAAGCUGGAAGAAGCAGCAUGAGAGGGAGAGAGUGUUUGAGUAGAGAAUCCCAGUCCAGGUAGACAUUUGAGGUAUGGCAGCUUCAAUGUUGAGAGUAUUGAGACAGAUAUCAAAGAAAACAUACUGUCUAAACAGUAGCCUAUAUGGAUAGAGAUGCAAUACUGCACUUGUUGCUUCAGGGUGGAAAUGUUGGUGAAAAUCAUUAGCUGUGCCAAACAAUCAUUUCACUAAAGACAAAAAUUGCAUUCUAGAGGAAGUGCUUCUGUACAAUUGCAGUUUCCUAUGAACAUAUGAUAUGUUUGUGUUAAAGUGGUUUUGGUAGUUAUAUAUUUUUAUCAUUAGCUGGGAAUGUAGUCAAAGUGCAGUGAUAUGGUUGAUAUCCAUUGCAAUACUCAGUUUAUUCCAGGGUAGGAAAAUGCAAGACUGGGAGACAAAAGGCCAGUGCAGUUCAUAAAUAUUGCUCCAAAUGAAACUAAUGGUAAGCAUUUCUGAAUCCUAACAUGUUCACUACAUAUAAGAAGCUGCGGUCAUUUCUGUGUGUAAGUGUAGCUUGAUUGGUGUCUGAUUGGCAAUUUCAGUAACUACCAAACUAUCUGGGUAGCUAAGGAAAUAGCUGAAAUAGCUAGCAACAUUGAGAUAUAUAGUUAUAUACAAGCUAGUUAUUUUUGGUGAGUCAAAAUGUGCGAGUGAGAAUUAUACAUUAUUUUUUAAAUUAUAAUUUAAAAGUUCAUUUUAUAAAUAUAGUACUGAUUCAUCGUUAUAGCCACUGAGACAGUGAUAGAGAGCCAAGCAUGACACUCAUAAAGAAUUCAAUUCUGAACUGCAACGACACCUUGAUUCAUUGAACUGGGUGUUUAAAUGAUGGGCUGAAACAAAAUCCAACACCCACAGAGAACAUUUUAAGAAAAGAUUGGACACCCCAACUUUCAAUUAUAAUAGUCACUUAGUUACAAAAUAACAAAUUAUA
Molecule: long non-coding RNA, 2975 nt
Organism: Anguilla rostrata (American eel)
Lineage: Eukaryota; Metazoa; Chordata; Actinopteri; Anguilliformes; Anguillidae
Exons: 3
Source: RefSeq, a predicted model, not a curated record